RNAcentral lists this ribosomal RNA (50 nucleotides) under Zieria oreocena. RNAcentral's name for it is "partial 26S ribosomal RNA". Lineage: Eukaryota; Viridiplantae; Streptophyta; Magnoliopsida; Sapindales; Rutaceae. The record is from RNAcentral.
CGCGACCCCAGGUCAGGCGGGACUACCCGCUGAAUUUAAGCAUAUCAAUA